Capsicum annuum is the source of this 935-nucleotide long non-coding RNA. RefSeq lists it as uncharacterized. The record is from RefSeq and is a predicted model, not a curated record. NCBI's taxonomy places the organism in Eukaryota, Viridiplantae, Streptophyta, Magnoliopsida, Solanales, Solanaceae. The transcript has 4 exons.
UCAGGGACUUGACUGGAGUUCAGAUAAAAAAGUUGAAUGGGACCCAGAUGAGAAGAGAGUAUUGCUACCUUUAGGGAAGCCUUUGGUCCCAGAGUAUGCCAUGAGGUUCGUUGGUGGUAGUUCCGCAAAACCGUUUGGUCGUUUGUGGUGGGAUGAAACUGUCGCAACAGUUGUGACGAGAGUUGAACUACAUAAUCAGGCAUCUUUUUAUCUUUGUCAUCUUAUUCAAUCCAUAAAAUUAGCUUGUAUCAUCCUAAAGCCUUAUCUUUUAUUCUUGUACUCCUUUCAGACCAUAAUACAUCCACUACAUGAUAGAGUUCUCACUAUUCGUAAAAAUGCAAGGCUCCAAAGUUUUCCGAACUAUUACAAGUUAAUAGGUCCAAUAAAAGAAAGGUAUAGCAUCAACUAACAUCUAACUGUUUGGUUGAAGAUCUGAUUUUUGUGUAAGGCUGAUGAAUGAUGACCGAGGAACACAACAAAGUUUCAAAUUGCCAGCUCAAAUAUUAUUUGAUUGCUGCAGGUUUCCAAACAUAUGGGCAUUGCAAUUAGCUGUUGAUUCUGUAUUAUGUUGGACUGCAUCUUUCAUUUCAGGAAGAUUGACAAAGUGUUGAUGAGGUUCUAAAGCACCCCUACUUCUCGUAAAGGUGAUAAAAAUUUCAGGUGGUAUACCUAUUUCCAUAUGAACAGCUAAAAGAAACACAACCUGCAGACCUUUUACUGAGGGUCUGUGAUUCAAGUGAACCAGAUAUUCUUGACCAAUAUUUUACACCCAUUGCCUUCUACUCAAACCAUACAUAUAUACUAUUUUUUGAUACAUAUAUUUAUACAGAGUUUUGAUCCUUUGUCGCUCGGGAGAAAUGAUUGCAAUGGUACUCUACAUGCAUACACUGACCUUUAAAUUGUGGAUCCACUUCUGUUGUCAUGAAAUGUUAAAA